RNAcentral lists this small RNA (1171 nucleotides) under Pochonia sp. ID07-F0446. Its description in RNAcentral is "eukaryotic LSU rRNA". The stretch from base 557 to 1171 matches the Rfam family "Eukaryotic large subunit ribosomal RNA", at positions 1 to 639 of the family's 3401-position model. The record is from RNAcentral. Lineage: Eukaryota; Fungi; Ascomycota; Sordariomycetes; Hypocreales; Clavicipitaceae.
UCUCCGUUGGUGAACCAGCGGAGGGAUCAUUACCGAGUUUACAACUCCCAAACCCCAUGUGAACUUAUACCUUUUCAGUUGCUUCGGCGGGUCGCCCCGGGGUCGCGGGCAACCCCCGCGCCCGGAACCAGGCGCCCGCCGGAGGACCCAAACUCUUCUGUAUUUUUACGCAUGUCUGAGUGUAUAAAACAAAAAAUGAAUCAAAACUUUCAACAACGGAUCUCUUGGUUCUGGCAUCGAUGAAGAACGCAGCGAAAUGCGAUAAGUAAUGUGAAUUGCAGAAUUCAGUGAAUCAUCGAAUCUUUGAACGCACAUUGCGCCCGCCAGUAUUCUGGCGGGCAUGCCUGUUCGAGCGUCAUUUCAACCCUCAAGCGCUGCUGCUUGGUGAUGGGGGACGGACCCGGCUGGGUGGGAUUUUCUCCCUCUCCCGCCGCCGCCCCUGAAAUGAAUUGGCGGCCCCGUCGCAGCCUCCUUUGCGUAGUAGAAUUAUUUUACCAUCUCGCAAUCAGGAGCGCGGCGCGGCCACUGCCGUAAAACGCCCCAACUUUUUAAGAGUUGACCUCGAAUCAGGUAGGAAUACCCGCUGAACUUAAGCAUAUCAAUAAGCGGAGGAAAAGAAACCAACAGGGAUUGCCUCAGUAACGGCGAGUGAAGCGGCAACAGCUCAAAUUUGAAAUCUGGCCCCUAGGGCCCGAGUUGUAAUUUGCAGAGGAUGCUUUUGGCGAGGUGCCUUCCGAGUUCCCUGGAACGGGACGCCAUAGAGGGUGAGAGCCCCGUCUGGUUGGAUACCGAGCCUCUGUAAAGCUCCUUCGACGAGUCGAGUAGUUUGGGAAUGCUGCUCUAAAUGGGAGGUAUAUGUCUUCUAAAGCUAAAUAUUGGCCAGAGACCGAUAGCGCACAAGUAGAGUGAUCGAAAGAUGAAAAGCACUUUGAAAAGAGGGUUAAAUAGUACGUGAAAUUGUUGAAAGGGAAGCGCUUAUGACCAGACUUGGACCCGGUGAAUCAUCCAGCGUUCUCGCUGGUGCACUUUGCCGGGCUCAGGCCAGCAUCAGUUUGUCUUGGGGGAUAAAAGUUUUGGGAAUGUGGCUCCUCCGGGAGUGUUAUAGCCCAUUGCAUAAUACCCUGGGGUGGACUGAGGUUCGCGCAUCUGCAAGGAUGCUGGCGUAAUGGUC